UACGAAGGGUGCAACCGUUGCUCGGAAUUAUUGGGCGUAAAGCGCACGUAGGCGGCUAUCUAAGUCGGAUGUGAAAUCCCUCGGCUUAACCAAGGAAGUGCACCCGAAACUGGAUAGCUUGAGUACAGAAGAGGAUCGCGGAAUUCCCGGUGUAGAGGUGAAAUUCGUAGAUAUCGGGAGGAACACCAGUGGCGAAGGCGGCGAUCUGGGCUGAUACUGACGCUGAGGUGCGAAAGCGUGGGGAGCAAACAGG
Molecule: ribosomal RNA, 253 nt
Filed under: uncultured bacterium
Lineage: Bacteria
Description: partial 16S ribosomal RNA
Rfam family: Bacterial small subunit ribosomal RNA
Source: RNAcentral